GACUGCACCCGUCUCUUUGUGUGGUGGCAAAGCAGGAGUGACAGAGAGAGAGAAAAACAGAGACAGCGUGAGACAGAGAGAGAGAGAGAGAGAGACAGAACUGGAGACAGAACUCAAGCAAGUCACACCGACGCUCAAACUCCAGAAGAACUCCUGAGGUAUGGGCUGCCAGAACAGCGUGCCGGAUGACGACGACUUUGACCCGAAGCAGGAGUCGCGGGGCGGCUGUCCGACCUGCUGCCUGAAGACCAGGGACUGCCUGAUGAGCCGGGAGUGCGGGCGCGGGCUGCAGAUCGCCCAGGUGGUCGCCAUGUGCGGCAUGUGCCUCCGCUUCUUCGUGUAGUCGGGUGGACGUCCCCUCCCCCGCCCCCCCCCCCCGCCCCCUCCUGAAAAAGGCCCUCACCCCUCUGGAUGGCUGAUGUCAC
Molecule: long non-coding RNA, 425 nt
Organism: Conger conger (European conger)
Lineage: Eukaryota; Metazoa; Chordata; Actinopteri; Anguilliformes; Congridae
Exons: 3
Source: RefSeq, a predicted model, not a curated record